Molecule: long non-coding RNA, 4258 nt
Filed under: Homo sapiens (human)
Lineage: Eukaryota; Metazoa; Chordata; Mammalia; Primates; Hominidae
Description: HSALNT0402933
Source: RNAcentral
AAUGGCACAUAAGCACUAAAUGGUAGCAUUUUAUCAUUAUUUUAUUUAUAGUCUACACUAACUGUGUGCUCUUCCAUACAAAAGAUGCAUCUAAAAACUAACUUGUUUGAUAAAUGGGGGGAGGACAAGGUGCCUCUAAGAUAGGUGUGCUUAAAUCCAGAGCAGCCGUAGCUUUUAUCAAAUUCUCUUCCAACCUGAAAAAUCUAACGAUUCUAUGAAAUAACUUCAAUUUGUGAAAGCCCAAGCAAAAGAAAUUCAAAGUUAAAAAAAAAAAAAAAAGAAAAUGUGACUUUGACUCAGGUCAGUCAAGUAUUACCAGGAUAGAUAAAAGUAGAUUUUUAGCAAUACAGUUAACAAUGGGUCUUGCCACAAUAAUAGCAAACAUCCAGAUAUUGGAAAGGAAUCAGAUGGUAAAUUUAAAAAAGACUGUUUUCAAUCCUUAUAUUUGGCUUCACAUAGAUUCAGUGUAUUUUAAUUCAUUUUUUUUUAAAAAGCAUGGAUCAGUUAAGGAAAUAAUAUAAGUUCAUUCUGAUCUUUAGGAAGACAUUCUUCCCCCCAUAUUGUUCACUUUGACAAUUUCUCUUUUUUCUUAUUUGGCCAAAAUAUAACGUAUUCUCUAAACAAAACACAGAUGUUUCCUUUGCAGCUUUUAUACAAAUCUCUUGCUUUUCCAACAUGAUUUGGCAACUCAAAAUCCAAAGCACCCUAGAAAAUAUUAUGUUUACACGUCUUAUUAUUCAUCUUUGUGUCUCCAAUAUAGUUUCAAUUUGACUAUACCUUUCAGUGUAUAGGGAACCACUCAGCUUGAAUCUUUUAGGUUCAAAAAUUCCAUAAAUUUUAAAUGAGGCAAGUAAAAGGAGGUGGAGAAGCUCAUAACUCCAUUUCUUAUGGCUUUAACAAUAAAAGAACGUACCUGGUAUGUACUUAAAAAUGUACUAUGUGCCACAAAGCUCCCCCACUCAACAAUCUCCCUCCUGACACAGUCUACCCUCAAAAUAAAGUCAACUACUCCUCAUCUCUCUGCUUCCACUUCCUUCCAAUUCACAAAUACAUUGUUAAUUUCCUCUUUGCAUUUCAGAGAGCAGUUUAUCAGCACAGGAUAGUCUUUAACAAAAUUGUUGUGAGUGAAGAUAGGGUAAUUAAAAAAAAAAUCAUGUUAAGAACUGUUAAUAGUCAAGAGUUGUAACUUUUCAACCAGGAAGAGCUAUGGUUCUGAAUUUGCUACAACUGCUCCUUGAAGUGGACAAACAUAACUAGCCUUGGGAACACUCAGUUUAAGACCAUGACAAGCUAUUUCAAUGAAUUAUAUAAAGAAACAUAGUUGCUUUCACUGCCUCAAAUAACACCGCAGUAAUUCUGUGAUACACUUCAGAAGAGUUAGCACUGGAGGGAAAAGAGCCUGUGCGGCAGCCCUUGGUGACUACAUUUCCCUCCAGCGCAAUGCAGGUAGCAGGACAUCAGCGCUUUGAGAACUAGCAUAAGCUGCUGCAGAAUCAUCGACUGGCAACAAUGUGCCUUCCCAGAGAGCCUGGUCUUGGAGAAUCCAGGCUAUGAGGCUUGCAAAUGCUGCAUGAGUUUUAUGGCUACCAGGUUGGGAGCAAGGUUUUUUAACGGCUUCCUGAAUGUCAGAUGGCAACUGGUUUUUUCUUCAAACAAUGGCAUAUUCUUUAAGAAAAUCAAAUUAUCAAUGAAAUUUGCCAUGUGACCACAGGCAAGUUAACUAUUCUUGCAUUUUUCAGACUAGGUUUCCUUAUCUCUAAACUAGAGAAAAUGAUACCUACAUGUCACAGGGGAACUGGAAGGAUUAAAAGACAAAAUGUGUGUAAAGCUUCCAGCACAAUGUCUGGCACAAAACGGUUGCCCCAAAAAGUUCAAUACUCUUCCUUUCCCUGCUCCCCCUCCCAACAAAACAGGAAAAGGCAACAGCCAAGUAACUAAACAACUUCUUAAUAUUCCAAGUUUCUACCCAAUCAUCUCUUCUUCUUUUAAAACCACAGGCUUGAAAUCUUUACUGUUUACUGUCAACAACGGCAUAUACUGCUGUACAGUCAGAAUUUUAGAAUUUAGAAAUCAAAUAUAACCCCCUUAUUCAACAGAUGCUGCCGGGGGAGAUAAAAGGGCUUUCCUUUUAUCUGUAUCAUCUUGAUUUAGUAGCAGAACCUAAACUCGAAAAAUAAACGUGGAAUAACAGGAAUACUAUUUUUUAACAUGUUUUUCAAAAAUCAAACCUGAGCCUACAUAACCCAUUGUGCAAACAGUCCCUUUAGGAGAAAAACUGCAACUGUGAUUAAUUUCUCUCAAGAAUAUUUAUUUCCCAUUUGGAGAGUUUCACAUGUUUCCAAACAUAUUUUCUUGAUGUCCUCCAUGUCAUUGUGUAUUCUCUCCUUCCCUUAAUUUGUUUCUUUUCCAGUGUAUAAAUCUAUUGCUCUAUUAUAGAUUAUUAUAAUAUAAACUCAUAAAUUCAGGAAUUUAAAAAAAAUCUUUAAAAGCAUGCUUCUCAGAAAUCAUUACACUCUGUUAAACACUUGCUAUCUCUCAACUUCUAGAUAGAUUCCUCAAGAGAGAAGUCCUUUUUUCAUUCUGAACUUCUAAUUCUCAAAUUUUGAUUGUGUCCUGUUAGUUACCAAACACACCAUUAUACUACUACUCUCAUUUCAAUAUUGUACAUAAACGAUUCCCCAUCUUACUAAUGAAAUGCUUUUUUAAAGCAGUAACAUAUUUAACAUGUGCACAUGUUAUGAAGAGUAUAGGCAAACUCAACUAUUAAAAACAUGUAACUAUAAGGAAAGCCAUCUUAGACACUAUAUGUGACUACAGCUAAGCUUUUCUCUUAAGUAUCUAAAGCAAAUCACCAGACUUUUACAUAGUACCCUCACAUAGCUAGAUAAGAAAGUAAAAGUAAAAUAAUGAAAGCAGACUCUAAACAGCAGAAGCUCCAAACUCCUUAGUUUCUCUGUUGUGCUCAAUCCUUUAGCAAAUUACAGGCCUGAAAACAAGGAGUAGCUCUAUCACUUAACAAGUGACUAAGGAAUGACUUUGUUAAUUAGAAGUCCAAGGGUGAGAGGCUCCUUUCCACCAAAGCUCUGAAUAAACAUCAACAUCAGGUCAACCAGAGUUGUCUUGGUCCCAGGAGUAGCUUAAGCGGAUGACUCAAAUUCCCAGCAGAAUUCUAGUUUAAUAUUUAUUGGAACUCCGAGCUUAGUCACACAGUGACUUGGAAUUUAAGACACAUGGGGUCUCUUCUUUCCAUCCUUAAAGAUAUUUUUGCUAAGUGACACAAAGUUAAAGAGGCAAGAUGGGUUUUAAUUUAGAGUUUUUAUUCCCUGAGGUGUAAGAAAUUAAAAUUUUAUUUUCUGGGGAGAGUGAACCAUACUAGCUCUGAAUUUCAAACACAACUAUUAACCCUGUCAGAUAAUUCUAUUAUCAAGUUUUACAAAACUGUUUACUAUUAUUAUUUUUUUUUGCUACCCCAGCCCUAUGUAUUGAAAGUGGAAAGAAGGAAGGGAGGGAAGGAGGGAAGGAGAGAGGGAGAAUGGAUGAAUGGAUGUAUGUCACAAUCACCUUUCUAGCCAAAACUGCAACAUAUGCUGGAGUUCUUGAAAUUAUUUCAACCAAAAAAAGAAUCACAGGACUCAUAAUUUGUUUAGCAGGAACUAUGCCCAGGCAGAAAAAAAGUUACUGUAGGUGAUGAAGCCAGUGCUCCCUGAACCAAAUAAACCCUAUCGACGUUACCGAACUGCCGGGCAAAACCAGAGCAACUCACUUACUUGGAAGGUGAAAAACACUUCAACAUACUCCAGGCGGCAACCGACACUUAGGGGCCAGGCAGAUGAAACACCAUUUGUUUAAAAAGUCUAUUAUUUCACUGUCUCUUCAACAAAGGUGGAAAACUGAUGAUUAAACACUGAAUAAUGCCACCCACUUACUAAACCUAUGAUUCACUAAUAAGCAGGUUCAAUGCAAUUCAUAACUUUAAAGAAUGAAUUACCGAAGCCCCUUGCUUCACAAAUUCCCCCAAGAAACAGAAAGAGCAUUCAUCACAUAUAACCCGACAACCAUUUUUACUAUGGACACCUACAGAUGGCUUCUCUUCCUCUAAGGACACAAUUUCCUUCACAAUCCCACAUGUAAUCAUUUACAAUACCAGAAACAAACUCCAACUCAGUUCCACCAACUGGGUUUUUAAAAAUCCUUGUGCCUAAGAACGUCUUUUUUCCCCAAAGUAAAAUGUGCCAUUAAAAAAUAUUUUUAAAACGCA